CAGCCGCGCGGGAAUACGAAGGGUGCAAGCGUUACUCGGAAUUACUGGGCGUAAAGCGUGCGUAGGUGGUGGUUUAAGUCCGUUGUGAAAGCCCUGGGCUCAACCUGGGAAUUGCGAUGGAUACUGGGCGACUAGAGUGCGGUAGAGGAUAGUGGAAUUUCCGGUGUAGCAGUGAAAUGCGUAGAGAUCGGAAGGAACAUCUGUGGCGAAGGCGACUAUCUGGGCCAACACUGACACUGAGACACGAAAGCGUGGGGAGCAAACAGGAUUAGAUACCCCUGUAGUCCCUGUCUCUUAUACA
This 301-nucleotide ribosomal RNA is filed under the name uncultured bacterium. RNAcentral's name for it is "partial 16S ribosomal RNA". It matches the Rfam family "Bacterial small subunit ribosomal RNA", at positions 509 to 808 of the family's 1533-position model. The record is from RNAcentral.